Molecule: long non-coding RNA, 1502 nt
Filed under: Strigops habroptila (Kakapo)
Lineage: Eukaryota; Metazoa; Chordata; Aves; Psittaciformes; Psittacidae
Description: lncRNA (ENSSHBG00005002690.1)
Source: RNAcentral
UUUUUUUUUGGCCUGUUUUCAAGAUCUUUCACUAACUCAAAUCUGUGAAAGACAUGUUCUUUUCUGUAUGCAUAAAAGAAGUAUAUCUUCUGCAAUUUACAGCAUUUAAUUUCUGAGUGAAUGUUAAAUAUUCUAGGAAGAAGGUUAUACGCAGAGUGGACAAUUUUAAACAUUGCACAGUUUUAGCUUUUCACACAGACUUUCCUUUUCAUGCACAAAACAGACAAAAUGUGUAUGUGUCCAAAGCUUUGUUUCUGUUAGUAGUAUGAAUCUUCCUUCCAAAGGUGUUUCUGAACAGACUGGAUUGCUUGCUCUCUAAAUAAUAUAUUUAUACACAGUUCUGGAAGAAAACUGAUGUUUCUCCAUCCAGAAACAUCAUACCUCCUUAUAAUCAUUACCUGGCAAAACUGAUAUUCUGAGAUUGCCAGCUUUCCUGCCUGCAAAAAAUAGAGUAAUUUGAUCUGGCAAAUUAUGGAAAAGAGUGAUAUAGUGUUUUCAUGAAACUGCCAUACACCACAGGAGAUGAAAAUAGGCUUCCUCCAGGUCAGAAUGUUUUAGACACUCGUUAUUGUCAAGACUAUUCCCAAAAAGAUAGUUUUUGAAAAAAUAUCUUUCCACCAGAAUGAUAGAAACAUGGGUAAAAGAAUUAGAUGCUUUAGGUUGAAAUCACACAUCUGGUAGAAAGGUCUAAGAACCUACAUGUAGGGGUUUUAGUAUAUCAAGUCAGUAAUGCUGGUUAGUAAGAAAGAAAAAGACCUCUGUAAGUGCAAUACUCCUCAGUAUGUGCUCCCUGUUUGGUCUAAAAAAAAAAUACUUUAAUUAACAGAGUAAUAAGAAGAGGAUACUGCUGCAUGAGGAUGAAGCAUAGACAGACAUGCUGGAGGUCAGUUCAUUAACUCAGUCUUUUGGAAGCCAUGUCCUAUUCAAGCAUUCUCAUGCUCUCCCUUGAGAGUUUACUUCAAGUUCUCUCACAAAUGCAAUUUAUAUCCUAGUAUCUUUAUUAUGUGUUCCACUAACUACUAAGCAAGACACUCCUUGGAUGCUACAGGUGCUGUGCAUUAAGUUGCCAGAUAUAUAAUCACAGUGCAGAGAUUUUGCUUUAUUCCUUACUCCUACUGGCUUUAAUAGUGAUGGACAGAAAAUAUGCUUAGAUUUCAGUUUUGAUUGAGAAGCACUUAGAUUCUGAUCCAUUUUCAAAAGAUGAAUGUACUGACAUAAUUACCCACCAGUCUCUGAGGAAAAGAAAAUAGUUGGAUUUUUGUAUUGGGUUUGGUUUCUUUUGUCUUGAGAAGGCCUCAAUAAACUGCCGAAAACAAAAGAGAUCAAAGGAUGGUUAAAGAUGAAAAAUGAAACAAUAAUUUUAGGAAAGACUUGGAAAAGCUUUAAUUGAAGAUUGUUUAGUACCAUCAAAGUGCAAAUAAGAAAACCUGCGCUAUGACUAUACGUUUGUGAAAGGAAUAGUAAUUAAGAAAAUAAGCUAAAUGCAUCUGCAAAGAAAGAUG